UUGCUCUUUCCGGGUGAAUAUCCCCGUCCCACUGAACCUUCCCUCCCACUCGGUCUCAGGCUGCCUUCCACACAGCUCCAGCUGUCAGGCUGCCCUGGACCCGCUCUGCACAGCCUCCCCACAUGCUCGCUGCCAGCCUAGACCAGAACUGGAUCUAGGAGGACGCUGCACCCUGACUUAAGAUCCUCUUAACAAAGGAGAAAUCAUGAGUGGUACUGGAAAUCUAGCUACUUACAGGUGCUGGUGAAGACUUGGAUCUUGGAGGAUAAGAAACAACCACCACUUUACUAAAGCACCACAAUCUGUCCUUAUACCCACAGUCUUCCUGCAGAAGGUGUGGCCCAGCCUCUCUAUCCUGAUCAAAGGUGUGUGUGUCCUUCGGCCUCAAGAUGUGGAUUAAUGGCACUUGUCUUCCUAUGUCCAAGUUCCAGACUAGAAGUGGAUUCAGUCCCUUCAAAACAAGCAAAAAUAAUUUCACAGAUGGUGUGUUCCCUCUGCCAGUGGGUUGGAGGCUUUCUCUGGACCCCCUCCUCAAGCUGCUGCCAAACUAGGUAGCUGCCUUGAAAUCCUGCUCAGGCUUCUAAUGUUCUACGAAGAAGCAGUCAGCCUCACAUCUUCACCAUCAUUGUCUCCAGAUUUGGUAAAAACAAUUGGGAAUUCUUAAAGGGGGGAAUUAGUUAAAAGAGAGUUUUUCCCACAUUAAAAAAUGGGAAAAACUAUUACAAUGGAGGGAGUUAGGUCUCGGUACAAUAUACUGGAGAGUUUGAAAUGGAACAAUUAAAUAAGAUGAUGAUUAAUUUAGAUGGGAUUUAUGUAAUGUCUAUUAUAAACAUUACUGGCUUUAUCAUUUUUGUUUUAUCACUAAAAAGUUGGUUAAUAUGAAUGCUAAGAUAAAAGUUUUAGAAAAACUUAUUAAAGCAGAUCAUAGAGAUAUUCAGAUCCAGACAGACAAAUUUAAAGGAGAACCAAUCUCAGCAUUGGAUUAUAAGGUUAGAGAGGAACAGCCUAAGGUUUUCAAACAACCAACUUUAGUUUAUCCAGUAACCUCACAGGAACUGCCAAAUUAUAGAUAUCUCCAAGGCUGUGUAAGAGCUGAAUGGACUCCUGUGGAAAUGUUAGAUUUGAGUGAAAGACCCUAACCCUUCAGGUUCACACCCUCCCCCCCCCAAGCCCCAGGAAAAUGAGGAACUAAAAGGGCAAACUGACUCAGCCAUUACCCAACCACCCCUGCCACAAUGUAACAAUGUAAAGAGAUUUCUAUUAAGAGAUGCGCUCAACUGUGACUGGGAUAAUUGCAAGUGUUCCAGGAAAGACCACUGUAACCUUUGUGUAACUCUCACUCCCACCCUGAUACCCCCCUUGAGGUCUCGGGAAGAAUGUGCAUGUAGACGUGACUGUACCUACCCUGUGAUCAGGCCAUGAUCUUGUGAAAUUAGCCUCUAGACAUAAAUCAAUUGAAACGAAAUUGUAUGGGAAUUGUAAUCUUGUGGCUUUUGUGGGUUUUUCCUUUAAAAGUACCUAUGUGGCUGCAGUAGGAUGCGACUCUUGCUCUCAGGACAGGAGUAGUCCGACUGUACAGCUGCUUCAAUAAACCUCUUGCUGUUUGCAUCAAUUGGACCAGAGUCUGGGUUCUUGGGGCGCCCACUCGAGAAGGUAGUACCCUGGGUCUGGGGUCUAUCAUGAGGAGAUUCAAAGAAAUGAUAGUCUCAUAUGGCAUGCAUUCACCCUUUGUGAAGCAGGUGUUAAACUCCUGGCCAUCUUGUAAUAGAACUAUCCCUCAAGACUGGAGAGACUUGGUUACAGCAGCCUUGGAGCCUGAUACUCAAUUACAGUGGAGGACCUGAUGGAAAGAUGAGACUAAGACCAUUGAACAAUGAAGUAGGUCUAGAGGUAUGGAAAUCUCCCAUGAACAACUUCUUGGAGAGGGAGGUUAUGCUAAUGUACAAAGUCAAUCCCUAUAUGAUGACCACACUCUGGCUUUAUGGCACACAGUGGCCUUGAAUGCUUGGGACAGAAUUGAAGAAGUAGGAAAGAUAACAGAAUCACUUACUAAAGUUAUGCAGGACCCAAAAGAAACCUUUACUGAUUUCUUACAAAGAUUGACUUCAGCAAGAAAUUCAGAAGCUAGACAAAUAAUAAUUGAAUUUCUGGCUUUUGAAAAUGCUAAUGCACAAUGCAAAAGGGUAAUUAGGCUAUUAAAGGCAAAAUCAUCACCCUUAGCAGAAUUGAUCCAAGAUACAGUCAAUAUUAAAUCUCAUAACCAUGAAGAUGUUUGAAUAGGAGAGAUUAUUUUUAGAGGUUUGAAGAAAAAUCAAGAUGUCAGGUGUUUCAAUUGCAUUAAAUGAGGUCAUUUAAAAAGAGACUGUAAAGCUAGGUGGUGAGGUGCACGCCUUUAAUCCCAGCACUUGGGAGGCAGAGCCAGGUGCUGUGGGAUGUUCUGUAUGGCAAAUGUGUUGCUGAUUAGUCAAUAAAUAAAACACUGAUUGGCCAUUGGCUAGGCAGGAAGUAUUGGCGGGACAAGGAGGAGAAUAAAGCUGGGAAGUGGAAGGCUGAGUCAGAGAGACACUGCCAGCUGCCACGAUGAGAAACAGCAUGUGAAGAUGCCAGUAAGCCACAAGCCAUGUGGCAAGGUAUAGAUUAAUGGAAAUGGAUUAAUUAAAGCUGUAAGAAAAGUUAGCAAGAAGCCUGCCAUGGCCAUACAGUUUGUAACCAAUAUAAGUCUCUGUGUUUACUUGGUUAGGUCUGAGUGGCUGUGGGACUGGCAGGUGAGAGAGAUUUGUCCUGACUGUGGGCCAGGCAGGAAAACUCUAGUUACAGCCAGGCAGAUCUUUGUGAGUUUGAGGCCAGCCUGGUCUACAGAGCAAGAUCCAGGGAAGGUGCAAAGCUACACAGAGAAACUCUGUCUUGAAAAACUGCCACACCAACUCCAGUGUUGUCCAUGUGACAUGAACAAUUAUGUCAAUAAUAGCAGAUGGGAUAUAUGUGUUCCAUGGGACUAAGCUCCCUGGAGGUCCCUGGCAGAGUGCCUGCAUUAUGCUUCCCUCUCGAAGAAGAUGUGCUUCACGGAUCAUGAGCUCCCUGGGCUAUAGGUUCUGUAUGACUGCUUUUCUGAUAAUGUUCUAAUUAAUCUAUGAAGCACAGCCAAAAUAAAUGAAUGCUUAGGUUGUGAACUAUGGAGGAGAGGGGAAGCUGGACAUGGAUCUUAAUUAAACAUAGCAGAAUGGGCUAUUUUUUUUAAAGACCCCAAGCCACUAGAUAAAGAAAGUAUAAUAGUUUAGGCACUUCUAGGGAAUGAACAGUCACCCACUAGGAAUCCUUUAGGAAUCCCAACUAAAGUGAGUUAUGGUAGAAAACGUUAUCUCAUAGGAAGCAGAUGGUGGGCCCCUUUGUUGAGGAAGUUCAGCAUGGCAAACUUAAGGACUACAGCAGAACCCCUUCCCCUUACAGGUGAAAAAGUACAAGAGUCCAUAUUCCAGCAUGUAAAAAGGUUUUAUAUUAAAAGAGAUAUGUGGUGGUGAACUAAAGAAAGACUUAGAGAGGGUCUGCAGCAUCCAAAUUGGCUAAGUGGGUCAUGAGAACCAGAAAAGCAGAAGUGAACAAUAAACUAGAAAACUACUAAGAUAAGAUAAAGGACACAGCUGCAACCUCAAAAAGUCUACACAAGUUUAGGGACUGUACUAAGUUUAAAAAACACAGACUGCUCUUUGGGUCAUAAAGUUCUUGUGGGUGUAAUGAUAUGUCUAGCAUCGAUUAAUAAUUGUGUGCUUGCUGUUUUUUAAAAGAUGAUGUACUUGAAUUAUUGCCAAGCUCUUGUUGUUCCUUGUAUGACUUGAUAGUUUUCUUUCUGUAUAUAAACUACUGAUUCGCAGAAGUAAAAUUGCAGCAGAUUCAAACCA
Molecule: long non-coding RNA, 3896 nt
Organism: Peromyscus californicus insignis
Lineage: Eukaryota; Metazoa; Chordata; Mammalia; Rodentia; Cricetidae
Exons: 4
Source: RefSeq, a predicted model, not a curated record